GUAUAAGCAAGUCUUUACAGUGAAACUGCGGAUGGCUCAUUAUAUCAGUUAUAAUUUAUUUGACUGUACCCGCUUACCAUUUGGAUAUCCGUGGUAAUUCUAGAGCUAAUACAUGCGCGAAAGGCCCGACUUUUUGGAAGGGCUGCAUUUAUUAGAUAUAAAGCCGACUGGCCUCUUUCGGGGGGCUGUUUUGGUGAAUCAUAAUAACUGAGCGAAUCGUGGGCCGUAUGGCUACGAUGGGUCAUUCAAAUUUCUGCCCUAUCAGCUUUGAUGGUACGGUAGUGGCCUACCAUGGCGAUCACGGGUAACGGGGAAUCAGGGUUUGAUUCCGGAGAGGGAGCCUGAGAAACGGCUACCACUUCUAAGGAAGGCAGCAGGCGCGCAAAUUACCCAAUGCUGACUCAGCGAGGUAGUGACAAUAAAUAACAAUCCAGGGCCCUUGUGGUCUUGGAAUUGCAAUGAGUACGAAGUAAACAAACUAACGAGUAGCGAUUGGAGGGCAAGUCUGGUGCCAGCAGCCGCGGUAAUUCCAGCUCCAAUAGUGUAUAUUAAAGUUGCUGCAGUUAAAACGCUCGUAGUCGGAGUUUGGGAUUCGGGGUGUGGCCCGCCUGGGCAGUUCUUAACUGGGCUGUUUUUUGGGCGUGGCUGUAUUCGCCUCGUUCCCAGUAGCUGUGGGGAGAGGAUAUUGAGCUUUGCUCGGUGUUCUAUGUCCCCACUCUUUUACCUUGAGAAAAUAGAGUGUUCAAAGCAGGCUUUUGCUUGAAUAUGUUAGCAUGGAAUAAUGGAAUAGGACUCUGGUCUUGUUUUGUUGGCUUUACGGGGCUGGGGUAAUGAUUAAUAGGAACAGGUGGGGGCAUUUGUAUUGGGUGGUUAGAGGUGAAAUUCUUGGAUCCUCCCAAGACAGACUAGUGCGAAAGCAUUUGUCCAGCAUGUGUCCAUUGAUCAAGAACGAAAGUUAAGGGAUCGAAGACGAUUAGAUACCGUCGUAGUCUUAACCAUAAACGAUGCCGACUGGGGAUGGGCCUGGCUAGUGCCGGGUCUGGACUCAAUGAGAAAUCAAAGUGUUUGGGUUCCGGGGGGAGUAUGGUCGCAAGGCUGAAACUUAAAGGAAUUGACGGAAGGGCACCACCAGAAGUGGAGCCUGCGGCUUAAUUUGACUCAACACGGGGAAACUCACCAGGUCCAGACAUAGUGAGGAUUGACAGAUUGAUAGCUCUUUCUUGAUUCUAUGGGUGGUGGUGCAUGGCCGUUCUUAGUUCGUGGAUUCAUUUGUCUGGUUAAUUCCGAUAACGGACGAGACCUUUAUUUGGUGACUAGUCCAGCCAACCCUUUUGUGUUGCGCUGUACUUCUCACAGAGACGGCCGGUGUCAAGCCGGCGGAAGUUGGAGGCAAUAACAGGUCUGUGAUGCCCUUAGAUGUUCUGGGCCGCACGCGCGCUACACUGGCAAGGGCAGCGAGUUUAUUUUUUCCUGGUCUGAGAAGUCUGGGUAAUCUUGCAAACCUUGCCGUGCUGGGGAUAGUCCUUUGCAAUUUUCGGACUUGAACGAGGAACUUCUAGUAAUCGCAAGUCAUCAGCUUGCGAUGAUUACGUCCCUGCCCUUUGUACACACCGCCCGUCGCUACUACCGAUUGAACGGCUUAGUGAGUCCUUUGGAUUUGCGGGGGACUCCCUCACGGGAUCUCUUGCGGAGAAGCUGGGCAAACUUGGUCGCUC
Molecule: ribosomal RNA, 1715 nt
Filed under: Coemansia interrupta
Lineage: Eukaryota; Fungi; Kickxellomycota; Kickxellomycetes; Kickxellales; Kickxellaceae
Description: SSU rRNA
Rfam family: Eukaryotic small subunit ribosomal RNA
Source: RNAcentral